UUGAUCCUGGCUCAGAAUCAACGCUGGCGGCGUGCCUAACGCAUGCAAGUCGAACGUGAAAGGGGCUUCGGCCCCGAGUAAAGUGGCAAACGGGUGAGUUACGCGUGGGUGAUCUGCCUUUGAGUGGGGGAUAACCUUCCGAAAGGAGGUCUAAUACCGCAUGACAUCCUGUUCUUGGAUGAACGGUGAUCUAAGCUGGUGACCGCAAGGCCUGGCGCUUGAAGAGGAGCCCGCGUCCGAUUAGCUAGUUGGUGGGGUAAUGGCUCACCAAGGCGACGAUCGGUAGCCGGCCUGAGAGGUCGGACGGCCACACUGGGACUGAUACACGGCCCAUACUCCUACGGGAGGCUGCAGUGGGGAAUUGUUCGCAAUGGGCGCAAGCCUGACGACGCAACGCCGUGUGGGGGAUGAAGGUCUUCGGAUUGUAAACCCCUGUUGGGUGGGACGAAUAUUUCCGUGGUGAACAUCCACGGGAACUGACGGUACCACCUGAGGAAGCUCCGGCUAACUCUGUGCCAGCAGCCGCGGUAAUAAGGU
RNAcentral lists this ribosomal RNA (537 nucleotides) under uncultured Acidobacteriota bacterium. RNAcentral describes it as "bacterial SSU rRNA". It matches the Rfam family "Bacterial small subunit ribosomal RNA", at positions 13 to 529 of the family's 1533-position model. The record is from RNAcentral. Lineage: Bacteria; Pseudomonadati; Acidobacteriota.